CAUGAUGAAGACAGAGUAAGUUGGAGGCUUUUUAAUUUUUAUUUAUGCUUUGAUGUUUAAAGUUUCCUUUCAGUUGUUGUUAACAAUCCUGAAACUGGCAUCUGUUCUUUUGAGUAUCUCUUGUAUUGAGAAACUCCUUGGCAAGGUGGUUCCACUGUGAUUUGAUUUUUAGAAGGGCGCAUCACUUGAUUGAGAAAUGUUUUCUCUAGUUUUUAAGAGUGGGUAAAACUAUACAAAUUUAUGCUUAUUUGUAUAGGCCCCUACUUCCUCCUUGUUGCAGGAUAGUGAACCAGAUAU
RNAcentral lists this unclassified non-coding RNA (297 nucleotides) under Hevea brasiliensis (rubber tree). The record is from RNAcentral. Lineage: Eukaryota; Viridiplantae; Streptophyta; Magnoliopsida; Malpighiales; Euphorbiaceae.